GAUGAACGCUGGCGGCGUGCCUAAUACAUGCAAGUCGAGCGAACGGACGAGAAGCUUGCUUCUCUGAUGUUAGCGGCGGACGGGUGAGUAACACGUGGAUAACCUACCUAUAAGACUGGGAUAACUUCGGGAAACCGGAGCUAAUACCGGAUAAUAUUUUGAACCGCAUGGUUCAAAAGUGAAAGACGGUCUUGCUGUCACUUAUAGAUGGAUCCGCGCUGCAUUAGCUAGUUGGUAAGGUAACGGCUUACCAAGGCAACGAUGCAUAGCCGACCUGAGAGGGUGAUCGGCCACACUGGAACUGAGACACGGUCCAGACUCCUACGGGAGGGAGCAGUAGGGAAUCUUCCGCAAUGGGCGAAAGCCUGACGGAGCAACGCCGCGUGAGUGAUGAAGGUCUUCGGAUCGUAAAACUCUGUUAUUAGGGAAGAACAUAUGUGUAAGUAACUGUGCACAUCUUGACGGUACCUAAUCAGAAAGCCACGGCUAACUACGUG
Molecule: ribosomal RNA, 497 nt
Filed under: uncultured bacterium
Lineage: Bacteria
Description: partial 16S ribosomal RNA
Rfam family: Bacterial small subunit ribosomal RNA
Source: RNAcentral